CCUUUGUAUAGCCAAUUAUUUCAGCGUGACAAAUAUAUUAUUUUCGAGUCUCGUAUUGUUACGAUGCCGCGACCGUGACAUUCCUUGUUGUUUUUCGCUGCCGAUCAGCUGGCGAUCAGCUACCGAUCAGCUGAUUCGCACUCAAAUAAACAUACCUUGCUCCCCGUUUUUCACCCUUACGACGGGGAAUUCUUGUCUCUCGACACCUCGUCAACGUCAGUCGAGCUGAGCUCUCUGAUCAAGCAAGGUUGUCGCGCGAAGGCUAUGUAUCUCGAAUUCAGUUUUUGUCUCCAUCUCAAUUGUGUGUUUCUCAAAUAAACUCUUAAAGGAUCAAAUCAGUUUGUCAUCUCUCUUAAGCAGUGAUCUUUCAUCUUUCCUCUAUCCUAUCGUUCGGUUAAUUUUGAUGUCUCCAGUGAGAACGUGGAUUUUCAUACAGUUCAUGUGCGAAUCCCGGGAUCUUUGAAAACCUCUAACUAUCUCGCGUAAACAGAGUACACUCGUCAGAUAUUGUCGCAACUAAGUUUUCACUAAGUUUUCUUUUCAUUCAACCCUUUCUCGAAGUGCAAAUUGGAUAUAAUCACAUCAACUGCCCAUAGAAUUAUCUGUGGAAAC
This is a non-coding RNA of Nylanderia fulva, 612 nucleotides long. The record is from RefSeq and is a predicted model, not a curated record. NCBI's taxonomy places the organism in Eukaryota, Metazoa, Arthropoda, Insecta, Hymenoptera, Formicidae.